This 1535-nucleotide long non-coding RNA is filed under the name Gallus gallus (chicken). RNAcentral's name for it is "lncRNA (ENSGALG00010015414.1)". The record is from RNAcentral. Lineage: Eukaryota; Metazoa; Chordata; Aves; Galliformes; Phasianidae.
CAAGAGGCGCGCGGGGAGUUUGAGGCGUGCGGGCGGGAAGUGGCAGUUCUUGUGGUGCGGGGAUGCGGCCACAUGAUGGCGCUGUCGGAAACGGCCUGAGAGAUGAAGCGCUGCAGGUGCUGCCGCCUUUUUGUGGGUGGGCCAAGGACUGGCCUGAGUCCUGCUAAAUAACCCGUUUUGGCUGAACCUCUUGUCCGUUAAAAAGUGCUACUGAGGUAUGAUUUUUAUUUUUACUUUGGGCCCAGCCCGGUUUAAUAUCCUUAUGCAUGAUCUGGAUGAGGGGACUGAGUGUAUCUUCAGUAAGUUUACGGAUGACACCGGGACAGGAAGAGGUAUCCAUCUGCCUGAGGAUAGGAUGGCCCUACAGAAGGAUCUGGACAGGCUGGGUCACCGGGCUGAGGCCAAUCCUAUGAGCUUCAACAAGACUGAGUGCCAGGUCCUGCACUUUGGUCACAACAACUUUGUGCAAUGCUGCUGCCUUGGGGCAGAGUGGCUGGAAAGUUGCACAGAAGAAAAGAAUCUCAGGAUGUUAGUUGACAGCCAGCUGAGCAUGAGCCAGCAGCGUGUCCAGGUGGCCGAUAAGGCCAAUGGCAUCCUGCCUUGUAUCAGAAAUAGUGCAGUCAGCAGGGCAGGGAGAUUCUGUACUCAGCACUAGUGGGCCGCACCUCAAGUACUAUGUUAGUUUUGGGGCCCUCACUACAAGAAAGACAUUGAGGCCCUGAAGCAUGUCUAGAGAAGGACAAUGAAGCUGUGAAGGAUCUGGAGCACAAAUAUUAUGAGGAGCAGCUGAGGGAAUCGGGAUUGUUCAGUCUGGAGAUGAGGAGGCUCGGGGAAGACUUCAUCACUCUCUACAACUCCCUGAAAGGAGGUUGGGGUGAGGUGGGGAUCGGCCUCUUCUCCUGCAUCGCUAGCGAUAAAGGCAAGAGGGAAUGACCUUAAGUUGCGUCAGGGGAGGCUCAGGAGAUUAAGAAAAAUUUCUUCUCCAGAACAUGGUGAGGUAUCAUCACUCCCCAGUGGUUCUCAUUCUCAGAAGAUAGUCCACAGUCAAAGAAGCCAAAGACCCCGUCUGUGACAUCAGCAUAUGCCCAGACUUUGAUCUGCAGGACUCACCCUCCUCAGCUGCUAAAGCCAUCUCCUUGACUGGUAAGAUCAAAAAAACCACCACUGUGGCCCCUUUACCGCUGCUCCUAGAGGAUAGCAGUCAGCUCUAAUCUCUUCAAGGUCUCUUUUGGUGGCAGUGUUUGUGCCCAGAUGGGUAAACAGCAGUAGAUAUUAAUCCAAAGAUUAUAUCCAAGUAUAUCGAUCCAAAGACCUCAUCAGUCUCUCUCUAGUGUCCCAUAUCUGAGCCCAAGGCAAGCAGUCAGCCUUCUGAAACAGUGGGUAUGAUCUGCAAGGGUGUGCUAAGGACCCUGGAGUAGAGAGUUGUGGCCAUUGCUACCCACCACUUCACCCUUAUGACGCUGUUUUAGCCAGUUUGGGGUUUUUAUUGGAUCCCACUAGCAUUUCCCAUGAACUUCUUUAAUUUUACCUAUCCC